Molecule: transfer RNA, 72 nt
Filed under: Marmota monax (woodchuck)
Lineage: Eukaryota; Metazoa; Chordata; Mammalia; Rodentia; Sciuridae
Description: tRNA.Ile
Source: RNAcentral
GGGGAUUGUGGCUCAGUGGUAGAGUGCUUGCCUGAUGUAUGUGAGACACUGGAUUCAAUUCUCAGCACCUCA